Non-coding RNA from Peromyscus eremicus (cactus mouse), 417 nucleotides. Lineage: Eukaryota; Metazoa; Chordata; Mammalia; Rodentia; Cricetidae. The record is from the annotation of a RefSeq genome assembly.
AUGAAGUCAGCUGCUCUCCUGCUAUGGGUUCUGCUGCUCUGGGUACCAGACUCCACUGGGGACAUUGUGCUGACCCAAUCUCCAGUUUCUUUGGCUGUGUCUCUGGGACAAAAAGUCACCAUCUCUUGCAAGUCCAGUGAGAGUGUCAAUAAAUUUGGCAUAAAUCUUAUGCAUUGGUAUCAAAAGAAACCAGGACAGCCCCCCAAACUCUUGAUCUAUAAUGAAGGUCAUCGAGAGUCAGGGGUCCCUGACAGGUUCAGUGGUUAUGAGGCUGAAUUAGACUUCACCCUCACCAUCCACCCUGUGGAAGCUGAUGAUGCUGCAACCUAUAUCUGUCAGCAAGGAAUAGAGCUUCCUCCCACAUUUGGAACAAAGACCAAAGUUGAGAGCAACACAAAGCUGUUGGAAUGGCCAUAG